AGCGAACGCUGGCGGCAGGCCUAACACAUGCAAGUCGAACGGAUCCUUCGGGAUUAGUGGCGGACGGGUGAGUAACACGUGGGAACGUGCCCUUUGGUUCGGAACAACUCAGGGAAACUUGAGCUAAUACCGGAUGUGCCCUUCGGGGGAAAGAUAUAUCGCCAUUGGAGCGGCCCGCGUCUGAUUAGCUAGUUGGUGAGGUAACGGCCCACCAAGGCGACGAUCAGUAGCUGGUCUGAGAGGAUGAUCAGCCACACUGGGACUGAGACACGGCCCAGACUCCUACGGGAGGCAGCAGUGGGGAAUCUUGCGCAAUGGGCGAAAGCCUGACGCAGCCAUGCCGCGUGAAUGAUGAAGGUCUUAGGAUUGUAAAAUUCUUUCAGCGGGGACGAUAAUGACGGUACCCGCAGAAGAAGCUCCGGCUAACUUCGUG
Molecule: ribosomal RNA, 433 nt
Filed under: uncultured bacterium
Lineage: Bacteria
Description: partial 16S ribosomal RNA
Rfam family: Bacterial small subunit ribosomal RNA
Source: RNAcentral